GACGAACGCUGGCGGCGCGCUUAACACAUUCAAGUCGAGCGGUAAGGCUCCUUCGGGAGUACACGAGCGGCGAACGGGUGAGUAACACGUGAGUAAUCUGCCCUUCACUUCGGGAUAACCACCGGAAACGGUGGCUAAUUCCGAAUACGACCAGUCUUCGCCUUAGGUGCUGGUGGAAAGACUUUUCGGUGAAGGAUGUGCUCGCGGCCUAUCAGCUUGUUGGUGGGGUAAUGGCCUACCAAGGCUUCGACGGGUAGCCGGCCUGAGAGGGUGAACGGCCACACUGGGACUGAGACACGGCCCAGACUCCUACGGGAGGCAGCAGUGGGGAAUAUUGGACAAUGGGCGAAAGCCUGAUCCAGCAACGCCGCGUGAGGGAUGACGGCCGUCGGGUUGUAAACCUCUUUCAGUACCGACGAAGCGCCCUGUCGGGUGGUGACGGUAGGUACAGAAGAAGGACCGGCCAACUACGUG
This 474-nucleotide ribosomal RNA is filed under the name uncultured bacterium. RNAcentral's name for it is "partial 16S ribosomal RNA". It matches the Rfam family "Bacterial small subunit ribosomal RNA", at positions 28 to 507 of the family's 1533-position model. The record is from RNAcentral.